GUCUUCUUAGCAGCCUCAAAGAGGAUUAAAUGAGAUGACAGACAUAAAAUGGGUAGUGCAACGCUUGGUUCACUGGAUAUAAAAGCUCAAGUGGAUUAACUACUUCUGAGUAUUAGAGACUGAGUUGAAUCCUCCCAAAGAAAUCUCAUCACAGAUGGUUGGGAGCCACGCUGAUUAGAAUGCCAACUGUUCCAGCACUAGGACACGUUUAGAGGAAAAAGACCAUGUGAUUACACAGCAAGAAGGCAGCCAUCUAUAAGACCGGAAGCAAGGCCUCAGCAGAAAGAGAUCCUGAAGAAACCUUGAUCUUGGACUUCUAGUCUCCAGGACUGGGAGAGAAUAAACUGUUGUUUUAGCCACACAAUCUGUGGUCUUUUGUUAUGGCAGUUCAAGCAGAUUAAUAUAUAUUUGAUGCUAUAAAUUUCCCACUAAACACUGCUUUUGCUUUACCCCACAAAUUUUAAUGAGUUGCAUUUUAAAAAAAUUUUUAUUUAGUUUAAAAUAUUUUUACACUUUUCUUGAAACUUCCUUCACCUCACUGUUAUUUAGAAUUGUGUUGUCACAAAUAUUUGCGAAUUUUUUAGCUAUCUUUCAGUUACAGAUUUCCAGUUUAGCUCCAUUGUGGUUUGAUAGCAUGUUUUGUAUGAUUUCUAUUAUUUUAAAUUUGUUAAGGUAUGUUUUGUGGUUCAGAAUGUAGUCUGUCUUGGUGGAUAUUCCAUGAGAGCUAGAGAAGAAUGUGUAUUCUGCUUUGCUGUAUGAAGUAGUCCAUAAAUGUCAAUUAAAUCUAGGUGAUUUUGCCAUAAUGAUGUUCUGCCCACUGGAUCUGUCAUUUACUAGUCGAAGAGUGUUGAGGUCUUCAGAGGUAAUCAUUAAUUUGUCUAUUUUUCGUUGCCAUUCUAUCCAUUUUUUCCUCAGGUAGGCACAUACUUAUUAAGGAUUAUUACAUCUUCUUAGAUAGUUGGUCCCUUUAUUAUUAUGUAAAGCCUCUCUUUAUCACCUAAUGUUCCUUGCUCUGAAGUCUGCUUUAAUAUAAAUUAUAAUAACUGCUUCAGCUUUCAUUUCAUUACUGUUAUUAUGGUGUAUCUUUCUUCAUCCCUUUACUUUUAACCUGUUUGUACCUUUACAGUUAAGAUGGCUUUCUUGACUGAGCAUGGUGGCUCAUGCCUGUAAUCCUAGCACUUUGGGAGGCCAAGGCAGGUGGACCAUGAGGUUGGGAGUUCAAGACCAGCCUAGCCAACAUGAUGAAACUCUGUCUCUACUAAAAAUUCAAAAAUUAGCCAGACACGGUGGCGGGUGCCUGUAAUCAUAGCUACUUGGGAGGCUGAGGGAGGAAAAUCACUUGAACCUGGGAGGUGGAGGUUGCAGGAAGCCAAGAUUGCACCACUGCACUCUAGCCUGAGUAACAGAGUGAGACUUUGUUUCCAAAAAAAAAAGGCUUUCUUUUAGACAGCAUAUAGUUGGGUCCUAUGUUUUAUCUACUCUGACAGCCUAUCUUUCAAUUGGUGUAUUUAGACCAUUCACAUUUAAAGUGAUUAUUGAUAUAGUUGGAUUAAUUUAUACCAUAAUUGUAACUUUUCAUUCAUUAUCCUUUUCUGUUUCUUUUUUCUGAAAUCUCUGAUCUUGUCAUUUUGUAUACCUCCAUUUUCCAUCGUAGUAUAUAUGUCUUUUAAAAAAAUUAGUAGUUAUCCUAGAAUUUGUGGUAUAUAUUUACAUUAAUCUGUGUACUUUCACUGUAACCACUUCACAGGUUGUGCAGGUACCUUAAAAGAGAGUAUUCUUGAUUUUUCUUCCCUUUACUUCUUAUUACAUGUUGUCUUUUAUUUCUUUUAUCCAUAAGCUAUAGUCACCCAGUAUAGUGAUGUUAUUAUAGUUUUGAGCAAGCAAUUAUUUAUCAGAUCAAUUGAGAAUAAGGAAAAUACACGAUUUUACUUUCUGUAAUGUACUAAAUUGUGCCUCUUGAAAACACACAUUUUAAAGUCCUUACCCCCAGUAUCUGGUAAGCAUGAGGACUAGCUUUCAUAUGUGGUAUAUAUUCUGAACCAGCAACCAAUGUUCGGUGCCAUUUCUCUCAUUGCUAGAAUAGAAGGAGGUGGGAACUAAAGGACAAAAGUAGAAGUGAUGCAGUUGUGGUUUUCCCAAGAACAUGCUCACAAACUUUUUGAUUUCCAUCCG
Callithrix jacchus (white-tufted-ear marmoset) is the source of this 2172-nucleotide long non-coding RNA. RefSeq lists it as uncharacterized. The record is from RefSeq and is a predicted model, not a curated record. Lineage: Eukaryota; Metazoa; Chordata; Mammalia; Primates; Cebidae.